GGGAAGGUGGCAUCUCCGCUGCGCACGGGCACUCCUGUGGGUACAAGGAACAGCAGCCUGAGAGACACGACCACGAGGCACUUCCAGGGCAGGAACAGGUAACCACUUCAGAAUGUUGAAAACUGUUGUACAAAGUAAUUAAUGAGCUGCCCUGGAUCUGAGGCAAGCGACGGAAGAGUCAAGAUGAUUAAAAGUCUUCUGAUAAAGGGUUUCUUUAAGGAAAAGAAAAUCCCACAAUGCAACCAGCAAUGUUAAUCUUCAAUAAAUACGCUGUUAAUAUUUAACUGGCAUUUAUUUAAACUUACAGUAACGGUCCUAUUAAAUCUAAAUUAAUUGCCCAUUUGGGAAUCUUCCCCUAAAGCCUAGCUGGGACAUGGCUAUCUAGAUACAGUCUAUGCUAGGCAUCCAGCCAUAAAGAGAAUAUUUACACACUCCUUCCAUGACUAGACUAUUGGAAUAUCCGGGUUAGAAGAGUUUUAGAGAUCUAUUGGACUGGUUGCACACUGUCUGUCCUUUAACUUUCCGCGGCCCUAUUUUUUUUUUUCUUCUCUUCAGUAAGGGAUUUUUUCUGUGUUUCCUGUAUCUACCUCUUCCCACCUUUUCUUUUUAUUUGGAUUCUCUCUCCUUUCUGUUAGUGUUUGUUUCUUCUGGACUUCAUGGUUUAGACUCAUCCUGCUGUGUUUUAUCUCAAUCUCUGCUGAGUUUCUCAGAUAAGCCAUUUAGGCAUAUGUUCAUAGCAUAUUCUGUACACACACGGAUACAUAUACAUACAUAUAAUUUUAUGUGUCACAGAGAACAUUUUAUAAUAGCAGUUGUAUAUAAAAGGCUAAGUGCCGUGAAAUAAUUCCUGAGUCAUGCUGCUUUAGAAGGGGCAGCAAGAGUGUAAUUGGGUAGAACUGAUAUUUGCUAUCCCUGAAAUCAAUCAAUAUUCUUUAUUAGAAAUGUGGACCUGGAUGAACUGCUGUGAUGUUAUUUUGCUGGGAUUGUAACCCAUUUACAUUUCCACACCAAACAUAUACAGACACACCAUACCAGUUUCAUCAGAUCAGUUGACUACUGAGACAUGGAUUUCAAACAAACACCUAAUUAGAGGGGUUAGUGUUCAAACUGAGUUAACUUUAAACCAAUGCAUCAAGGCUGCACAGAAUCUGAACUUUCCUUGGGGAAGCAGGAACUGGAUGAGACUAAAAUCGUUCACUCUAAGGUUCUAAAUGUUUAGUUCACCAAGUUUGAUUUGUAAAUGUUCACUGUUUGCUUUGCAGGCCCCGGGACAGGAAUGGUAGUAGGGAGGGGACAAAGCACCAGUGAGGAGCAGGUGAAGUGGUGGGAAGGCACCCACACAUUUUAAGAAGAUAAACAUACUCUCAACUGUUUGUUUGUGGAAGGCUUGAAUUUGUACUGCCCUAGAAGUCAAGUUUCUUUGUAUUUCUAGCUAAACUAAUACCCAAACUAUCCACUUCCUUUUUUAAUUCUUUACUUCAAUUUAAAGUAUCUAUUGACUCUGACAAACUUAUUGACUCUUACAAAGAAAUAAUAAAAUGCAUUUCUGUAUGCUUGUGAAUCUCUGUGACUUUCACCUUGUUGGUCCACCUGUAUGCAUUACCAUCGUGAGUUCAGGGCCUUUCUAAAUAAAGUAAUUGAGGUUGCCCUUGGGGCAUCACAGCCUUGUGCUUCUUUCCCAACCUGGGGUUGACAUGGGCAGCACCUCCCAGAAAGAAAUGAUUUCCCUAAAGCUUUGGUAUGCUUUCCUUCACUAGCUUAGCACAAAACUACCAGUGGUACUGCAGGUCGUGAGAAAGAAGGAGCAACUUGUGAGUGUCUUAGGAAAAUGAACUUAUGUGCUGUUCAGGUAGCUUUGAACCUGGAGGAGGCAGAAUUUGGAAAAUGUUGUCAACGUGCAUGUGAAUAAACCACAACACAUGAAAUAAUCUACCCUGGCUUUCACAACAGUUUUGACAAGGUGUCAGGAUCACAGAUACCUUUUAGAAAAGUGAGUAAUGAGAAGACUAUCUUUUUUUUUUUCAAAGGCAGAGAGCUGCUUAAAGCUAAGAUAUAAAUCAAGGGUAGAUUGACAUGUUUCUAUAUGGCCAAGUAUUAAUACUAGAUUCCCCAAGGGACAGUUGCUAGGACAAAUCAAAUUUAAUAUUUUUACCAAUGAUCUGUCAAAGGGAAUUCAUAGAGAACUCUCCCAAGUUUGCAGAAGACAUUAGGUUCCCUUAAGUAAUUAAAACUUUAGCUCACAUGGAUGAGCUGCAAAUAAUCCAGAAAGUUAUUUGGAUAUGUGGAAAAGUGGCCAAAUAUAAUGGAAGAUACUUUAGAAAAAAUAAAGUAUGCAUGUAAGUUGCUGGCAUCUAGGCAGUCGAUGAAGAGACAGUGAUGUGGAAGGGAUUGGGCAUGAAUGCUGGAGUUAAUGGCUUUGACUUUAUGUCCAAGUUCCACAAAUUACCAGCUUGACCUUGGAAAAUGUUCUCACCUCUCAGAGUCUCCUUUUCCUCUUCUAUUAAAAAGGAAUAAUACCUACCUCUUAUAUUUGCUGUGAGGGUUAAAUGAAAUAAUUUAUGUAAAGUACCAGUGAAGUACCUGGCCUGUAGUACCAACUCCACAAAUGGUUGCUACUGAUUAUUCUUUUACAACCCAGGAAAGUAAUCUUGGAAUCAGUGAUGGCUAGCAGUUCCCAAGCUAUGAUCCUUACAACACAUAUUGGAGCAUGAUACUAUAGAUUGCUUUCUGCAGGUAUCAGGAAUUUUUGCCAAAAAACAAGUGUUGGCCCAAACAUUUUUAUGGAAAACACUAAAAAGGGUAUUAGAAAAAAUAGGAACGAGAAAGAAAUGUUAUUUUUACUCAAAAUUGUUCCAUAAAAAUUCUCCUAGUAUUGCUUAUAGUAGUUAUCACUGUAGCUCACAAAUAAUAAACUUCAUGCAACCAACUGCUGAAAUCAGAAAUCGAGUCACUUUUAAUCUCUUCCCUCUUAUCACUGCCCCUCAUUACCCAAUCUCUCUCUCUCUCUUUCUCUCUCUCUCUCCCUCUUUCUCUCUCUCAGUCUUUUUCCUGUGUUCUUCCUCCAAAAUAUAUUUUACAUCCAUCCACCUUUCUCAACCUCCACUGCCUUGCCUGGCCCAAGCCAAGAUCUCCUCAUUUUCUUAUCUGGAUUCCUGAAAUUCAUCUUACGUGGAUGUCCUCCUUCUGCUCUUGCCAGCUCUGUUUCAAUCUCCACAUUGAAAGGAAGAUUUCCUGAAAUCUGACCUUGUCACUGUCCUGAUUAAAUCUUUGGUGGCUCCACACUGCAAUUUGAAUAAAGCUCCAAAUCCUUCCUGUGGUUUCUGAGCCCUCAGGACGUGGCAUCUGUGUAUUUUCAGCUUUAGCAACUACUUCUUCUUCCCUUUUGGAGCCAUGUCAGAUUUUGUUUUAUUGUAUUACACUUCUAAUUCCUCAGAGGUUCUUCUUUCUCAAUUGAGGGACUUUGCAUGUUCCACUUCCUGCCUAGGAUGCAGUCCCCAUGGUCUCGGGCUGAGUUGUCGUCACCCUUCUCGGUUCUGACUGGCUCAUGAAGGCCUCACUGUGCUAGUCCACUGGACUUGGCACAUGCCCUCUGCAUCAGUGCCUCGCAUAACACUCAGAAUACAUGUAAUGGUCUAAUUUCUGUCUUUUUCUCUGUUACAUUCCUGAAACCUAACACAAUGCCUGGAACAUAAUUGGUUUUGAUAAAUAUUUGUUGUAUUUAAGUGACCAGCACAGCUGAGGAAAAUUCAAAAAUUGAAAUAAUUUGUUUUGUAGGGACUUCCAAAUCUCUACAAACGAGGAACAUGAAAUUGAUGAUGACAUUUGGUAUUCACGAUGUAUAAGGAUAGAGUGAACACAUACUUAAUGACCAAACUCUAGCUAAAAUAAAAUAAAAAAACUCUUAAGAAAUCAAGACAGUAGUUAAAGGAUAAAAACAAGUAUGUCUGAAUAAAACUUAUACAGACAAAAAUAAUCUCUAAAUAAGAUAUGAAAAGGUUUGAAUAAAUUAACGUGUGAUAUACCCACACUGUUUGUUAGGUUAGAGGCAUCUGCUAUAUAUCUGUAACCUUUGAAGUAUGACUCAUGUAAAAUUGCCACUGUCCAAAGCAGGUAACUCGGACAUCUGAAUUUAUGUGACCCAGUGUGACCUUUCUAAUGUCAUGGUCCCAUCUACCCAGUAAUUCCAUUUUCUGCCUGGCUGGGGAUACUUCAAUUAUGCUUAUCUCGCCCUUCUCUCACCCCUACAUUAUGUUACAACUUCUUGUAGAAGGUUUAUGUACACUUGGUAAAGGCAUUUUUAAAAAUACUAUGAAAAGUGUGUGCAUGAUUUAUGUGGAAAUGCCCCCUGAGGAGGAGAACAGUUCCCUUUAGGCAGGGUUAGUUGGCCCGCCUUGCUUUCCAAUCCUUCACAUGCUUGGCUGUUUCCUCCAUGUAUGACCUCCAACUUUCACUCUUCACUGGGCUGGGGACCCCUGCUCCUCUGUGCACUCACUUGUUUUUUGUACACUGCCUCUGAAUUUACCUUGGACACAUACUUCACUUCACUUGGCUGCCUCGUUCCAAAAGUUUGACUUCUAGCAACCAGAAGAGCUGGAUUACGACAUACGUCUCUAAACUCUGUCUUAGCUCUUUCUAGCCACCUCAAUGCAUCCCCGUGUCAGCCUACAUUUUAGAGCGUGAUGGGAAGCAAUUUGUUUUCCAUAGAAUUUUUCAUUUUUCGCUCUAGUGGAAGAGAAUGGUGACAGCAAUCAUCCCAAGCAAUAGAUCAUGCAUGAGCCUGAGUUCUCGACUUUGUGCUCCACAGCGUUGGCCUCAACAGAAGGUGGGGGAAACUAGAUUAUUUUUCAAUUUCAUUUCCUGAAGACACAGAUGUGUAAAUGCACAGAGCCCAAGAGAUUGAAAAACAUGGUAGGCCAAGAUUAGACUGGCUUUAGAAAAUGUUCUCCCAAAUCAAGAUCAGAGUAAGUUAGUUGAAAAGAUUAUUUUUGAUUGCCCAGUAGGGAUGAGAACACCCUUCUCACAUUUAUUCAACAAGCAUAUCCUAGGGUAGGUGGCGUGUUACAUCAGGGACUGUCAUAUCCUUGGUAUCCAACCUCCAUGGCUACAGACUGCUGGAAGAGAUGAAUGUUAGAAAUAAUUGCACAGAUAAUCAAUGAAUCACAAUUGGAGUCAAUACUACAAAGGGAAUGUACACAAUUUCAAAAGAACAGAAAAGGGGAGAGUGUCUUAUUUAUAAUCACUCGAUCUCAGCAAAGAACAGGUAAAACACAUUCAAUGAUAAAUGGGAGAAGAAUUAAUGAACGAAUGAAUAAACAUGUAAAAAAUAUCUAGGCCUGUGCGUCUCAAUGUUUUUCCACAAAGCCAGUUGGUCAUACUUCCCCACAGGCAGACAUCAGCACUGGUUCCCUUUCCUUCUUCUAAAAGGCAGUCAUAUUCCAGAGAACUGGCGUGCUUUCCCACAUUCUUAUUAUUUAUCAAACAAAAAUAGAAGAGGUUUGUAAAUCAGGUUAUAUAAACAUUUCGAGCACAGUCAUUCUGCUCUUAGGAGAGAUAGCUAACCACACUCUCAUAACAAAUCCACUUUGAUCCCAACAUCCCACUUACGACCUCCUAGCACUCUCCAUCCAAGAAUAACAUUAAUAAUAAUCAGCCUAUUAGCCAGGGUGCUUGGUUUGAAUCCGAAAUAUUUGAGAAAUGAUCUUAUAAAUUAUUUUCCAAGGAUAUCAUCUUUAAGCAUUAACAGGCACAACUGACACUGAAUUCUGGGAAUUGAGCAUAAUUACAUGGAAAUUGACACGACACAAAUGCCAAGAAUUCUGUUAACCUUUAAUAUCUUUUAAAAACUCUCCCCUCAUAAUUAUCUCUUUCCUUUGUCUCAAAUGUUACUGAUGAAUAUUUAGAGGUAUGAGCAAACAAAAAAAGUGGAUGGAUUGUGGAAUAUUGGUCUUUGUUUGGAAUCCUAGAGUUUCCCAGGUGUUCCAUCAAGAGGUGAUAAAUAGAAUACUUGGAAUUUGACUAUUUUCAGAAGUUAUUUCUACCUUUAUAUUUGCUCUACUCGAGUUUUCUGCUUAUAAUUUCCCAUGCUGAGUAGAAGCUCCUUUGCAUUAGUAAUUACAGUAAAAGUGUAGUUCUAAGGCACUGGGUGUCUAACACAAUUCCUGACCUGUGCUGUGUCUUUGCAAAAGUCAUUGCACCUUUUCAGUGCUUCAGAUACCAUCUCUGUACAGUGAGUGUGAUGACAUUUAACUCCAACUGCAACAAUAUUUGCACAGUGAUGUAAACUUUACCAAGGGCAUUGCCAACCCUUUGCUCACUGGUAGAUCAGUGCCUCUUAAUUUUUUUCCUUCUUGCCAGUCUCCAAUGCUACCACCAAGGCUCUCUUGCUUUUUUUCUUUCCCCUCUCUCUCUACUCUUUUAAUUAAAUCCUAACUCAUCUCUCUGCUUCCAACCCUGCCUCUGCAUUAGUCAGUGCUUCUUAACAGGGGCAGGGCACACUCCUUGGAUUGUGGGAGUGGAAAAUUGAUUGGAUAUUGGUCACCACCAUAAUUGGAGAGGUACUGCUGCCGUUUAGUGUACAGAGGCCGCAGAGGUUAGAGACGCAGCAACGCAUGGCUAUUCAGCCACGGACGUCAAAUGCCUGCCAGACAUUUAGAUAAUUAUUUCAACUCUUCAAGAUUCUAAGGCCACAGACCAUUGAAACAUAAAGAAGACUAUAUAUGGAAUCUAGGAAGAGGAAAGGAAUUUGGGACAACUAUUUAAGACUGCAAGAGAAGAGCCACAGCUUGAGCCAAGGAUUUUUUGGAAGUUUAUCCACAAGACCUCAGGAGCUAGAUUCCAAUCUUUCUGAUUCAAAGAAUCCCCAAACUCAAUGAGGACACGUUUUCCUCCCGAGAACAGCAGAAUGGUAACAAAGAACACAUGAAAAGAAAAUGCUUUCAAGGACCAAAGGAAUUCAUCUACAAAUAUGGAAUUUCCAGCAUGGAAGUCAGUGACAAAGCCCUGGCAUACCCCCAUCGCAGGUGUCGUGAGAACACCGUCCAGUGGGACGAGGCCAGCCCUGCCCUGAGAAGCUGAGAUUCCCACCCCACCUGGAGGGAGCUGAGCACCCUCACAGCAACUCUGAGCCCCUGACUCCAAAGGAGACUCUUCUCCUGUGGUAUCAGACGUAGAGGGCGGGCUCCCUUAAAGUAAAAUUCCACAACAGGGCAGUAGAAAGAUGCAAUGAAACAUAUACGAGUUAUUAAAUAUUGUCAUCAAGAUGAGUAAUAAAUCAGACAUUUUAUGGUUUCUGA
Molecule: non-coding RNA, 7292 nt
Organism: Homo sapiens (human)
Lineage: Eukaryota; Metazoa; Chordata; Mammalia; Primates; Hominidae
Source: RefSeq, a predicted model, not a curated record